Molecule: long non-coding RNA, 683 nt
Organism: Esox lucius (northern pike)
Lineage: Eukaryota; Metazoa; Chordata; Actinopteri; Esociformes; Esocidae
Source: Ensembl
GAUCAAGUUCACCUCCAGAGGACUAUUGGAUCAAGGUCAGCUCCAGAGGACUACUGGAUCAAGGUCAGCUCCAGAGGACUAUUGGAUCAAGGUCAGCUCCAGAGGACUACUGGAUCAAGGUCAGCUCCAGAGGACUAUUGGAUCAAAGUCAGCUCCAGAGGACUAUUGGAUCAAGGUCAGCUCCAGAGGACUAUUGAAUCAAGGUCAGCUCCAGGGGACUAUUAGAUCAAGGUCAGCUCCAGGGGACUAUUGGAUCAAGGUCAGCUCCAGUGGACAGUUAAAUAAAGUUUGACACAACGAUAGAAAACUACAAACCACAGGCCUCCGCAUCCAUAACGCUUACUGUUAGUCCUUCUCUCUUCUUCAUCCAUAACGCUUCCUGUUAGUCCUUCUCUCUUCUUCAUCCAUAACGCUUACUGUUAGUCCUUCUCUCUUCUUCAUCCAUAACGCUUACUGUUAGUCCUUCUCUCUUCUUCAUCCAUAACGCUUACUGUUAGUCCUUCUCUCUUCUUCAUCCAUAACGCUUCCUGUUAGUCCUUCUCUCUUCUUCAUCCAUAAUGCUUCUUAUUCCGCCUCUCCUCCUCCAUAGUACUUUCUGUUCCUUCUUUCCUCCUCCUUCUCUUGUAAAGUCAUGUUAAAUAUAUCCCAGCUUGGAGGUAUGUUCUCUAAGAAGUGACCAGCUG